GGAUGGAUGUCUGAGCGGUUGAAAGAGUCGGUCUUGAAAACCGAAGUAUUGAUAGGAAUACCGGGGGUUCGAAUCCCUCUCCAUCCA
This 87-nucleotide transfer RNA is filed under the name Cephalotus follicularis. It matches the Rfam family "tRNA". Rfam says of the family: Transfer RNA (tRNA) molecules are approximately 80 nucleotides in length. Their secondary structure includes four short double-helical elements and three loops (D, anti-codon, and T loops). Further hydrogen bonds mediate the characteristic L-shaped molecular structure. tRNAs have two regions of fundamental functional importance: the anti-codon, which is responsible for specific mRNA codon recognition, and the 3' end, to which the tRNAs corresponding amino acid is attached (by aminoacyl-tRNA synthetases). tRNAs cope with the degeneracy of the genetic code in two manners: having more than one tRNA (with a specific anti-codon) for a particular amino acid; and 'wobble' base-pairing, i.e. permitting non-standard base-pairing at the 3rd anti-codon position. Lineage: Eukaryota; Viridiplantae; Streptophyta; Magnoliopsida; Oxalidales; Cephalotaceae. RNAcentral also lists the same sequence under 3 other names. The record is from Rfam by way of RNAcentral.